Molecule: ribosomal RNA, 593 nt
Filed under: Bipolaris sorokiniana
Lineage: Eukaryota; Fungi; Ascomycota; Dothideomycetes; Pleosporales; Pleosporaceae
Description: SSU rRNA
Rfam family: Eukaryotic small subunit ribosomal RNA
Source: RNAcentral
ACUGCGAAUGGCUCAUUAAAUCAGUUAUCGUUUAUUUGAUAAUACCUUACUACUUGGAUAACCGUGGUAAUUCUAGAGCUAAUACAUGCUGAAAAUCCCGACUUCGGAAGGGAUGUGUUUAUUAGAUAAAAAACCAAUGCCCUUCGGGGCUUUUUGGUGAUUCAUGAUAACUUUACGGAUCGCAUAGCCUUGCGCUGGCGACGGUUCAUUCAAAUUUCUGCCCUAUCAACUUUCGAUGGUAAGGUAUUGGCUUACCAUGGUUUCAACGGGUAACGGGGAAUUAGGGUUCGAUUCCGGAGAGGGAGCCUGAGAAACGGCUACCACAUCCAAGGAAGGCAGCAGGCGCGCAAAUUACCCAAUCCCGACACGGGGAGGUAGUGACAAUAAAUACUGAUACAGGGCUCUUUUGGGUCUUGUAAUUGGAAUGAGUACAAUUUAAACCUCUUAACGAGGAACAAUUGGAGGGCAAGUCUGGUGCCAGCAGCCGCGGUAAUUCCAGCUCCAAUAGCGUAUAUUAAAGUUGUUGCAGUUAAAAAGCUCGUAGUUGAAACUUGGGUCUGGCUGGCGGGUCCGCCUCACCGCGUGCACUCGUC